RNAcentral lists this ribosomal RNA (272 nucleotides) under uncultured bacterium. RNAcentral describes it as "partial 16S ribosomal RNA". It matches the Rfam family "Bacterial small subunit ribosomal RNA", at positions 73 to 339 of the family's 1533-position model. The record is from RNAcentral.
UAGGUGCUUGCACCAACUUGCUUCUAGUGGCGAAUGGGUGAGUAACACGUGAGAAAUCUGCCCUUUAGACUGGGAUAACUACUGGAAACGGUUUGUAAUACCGGAUGUGCUUUUUAUACCGCAUGGUAUUUAAAGGAAAGCUUAGAUGCACUAAAGGAUGAUCUCGCGGCGUAUUAGUUAGUUGGUGAGGUAGUAGCUCACCAAGACAAUGAUACGUAGCCGGCCUGAGAGGGUGACCGGCCACACUGGGACUGAGACACGGCCCAGACUCC